UACAGAGGUCCCAAGCGUUGUUCGGAUUCACUGGGCGUAAAGGGUGCGUAGGUGGUCAGGUAAGUCGGAUGUGAAAUCUCCGAGCUCAACUCGGAAACUGCAUUGGAAACUACCUGGCUUGAGGGUUGGAGGGGGGACUGGAAUGCUUGGUGUAGCAGUGAAAUGCGUAGAUAUCAAGCGGAACACCAGUGGCGAAGGCGAGUCCCUGGACAACUCCUGACACUGAUGCACGAAAGCUAGGGGAGCAAACAGG
This 253-nucleotide ribosomal RNA is filed under the name uncultured bacterium. Its description in RNAcentral is "partial 16S ribosomal RNA". It matches the Rfam family "Bacterial small subunit ribosomal RNA", at positions 524 to 776 of the family's 1533-position model. The record is from RNAcentral.